RNAcentral lists this ribosomal RNA (423 nucleotides) under uncultured Glomus. Its description in RNAcentral is "SSU rRNA". It matches the Rfam family "Eukaryotic small subunit ribosomal RNA", at positions 569 to 998 of the family's 1831-position model. Lineage: Eukaryota; Fungi; Glomeromycota; Glomeromycetes; Glomerales; Glomeraceae. The record is from RNAcentral.
AGCAGCCGCGGUAAUUCCAGCUCCAAUAGCGUAUAUUAAAGUUGUUGCAGUUAAAAAGCUCGUAGUUGAAUUUCGGGAUCAAUAUGUUGGUCGUGCCUUUGGUACGUACUAGCUUAUUGAUUUCUCCCUUCUGACGAACCAUGAUGUCAUUAAUUUGGUGUCAUGGGGAAUCAGGACUGUUACUUUGAAAAAAUUAGAGUGUUUAAAGCAAGCUAACGCUUGAAUACAUUAGCAUGGAAUAAUGAAAUAGGACGUUCGAUCCUAUUUUGUUGGUUUCUAGGAUUGACGUAAUGAUUAAUAGGGAUAGUUGGGGGCAUUGUAUUCAAUUGUCAGAGGUGAAAUUCUUGGAUUUAUUGAAGACUAACUACUGCGAAAGCAUUUGCCAAGGAUGUUUUCAUUAAUCAAGAACGAAAGUUAGGGGAU